Molecule: long non-coding RNA, 220 nt
Organism: Penaeus chinensis
Lineage: Eukaryota; Metazoa; Arthropoda; Malacostraca; Decapoda; Penaeidae
Exons: 2
Source: RefSeq, a predicted model, not a curated record
CAGCGGCUUCACCGGCACCGGCUCAGGCUUCAGCAGCAGCAACAGCGGAGCUCAAGGAAGCGGCGGCUCAGGCUUCAGCGGCGGCAACAGUGGCUUCACCAGCGGAGGACCUGUAGCCCAUCCCAUCCCGGCCAGCAGCGUGAGAAAAUGGUAAUCUUGAGAACUGUAAUGAGACAGGACCGUUGAAUUUGGUUAGUUAAUAAAGAUGUAAUUAGAAGCA